CUCGUCGUUUUCUCUUUUCAUCUCCCUUUUUCUUCUGUAUUCGAGUGAGGGUCUUCCCUCUGCUCUUGACGAGGUCGUGAGAGUGUAGAGGGGUCGUUGAGGAGGCUUUCCUCCUUGUCCGGUCUCGAUCGACCGAGCCUUUGUUUGUGUCAGGACGAGGUUCUCCUCUUGUUCUCGAUGGUCAGUUUCAGCUCAUGUUAGGAUGAGGUUCUCCUUCUGUUCCUAACAGGAUUGUGGGGG
This 240-nucleotide long non-coding RNA is filed under the name Elaeis guineensis (African oil palm). RNAcentral describes it as "long non-coding RNA (EGUI_LNC058056)". Lineage: Eukaryota; Viridiplantae; Streptophyta; Magnoliopsida; Arecales; Arecaceae. The record is from RNAcentral.